This 255-nucleotide ribosomal RNA is filed under the name uncultured bacterium. RNAcentral describes it as "partial 16S ribosomal RNA". It matches the Rfam family "Bacterial small subunit ribosomal RNA", at positions 524 to 776 of the family's 1533-position model. The record is from RNAcentral.
UACAGAGGUCCCAAGCGUUGUUCGGAUUCACUGGGCGUAAAGGGUGCGUAGGUGGUUAGGUAAGUCCGAUGUGAAAUCUCCAGGCUCAACCUGGAAAUGGCAUUGGAUACUAUCUAGCUUGAGGAGUGGAGGGGGGACUGGAAUUCUCGGUGUAGCAGUGAAAUGCGUAGAUAUCGAGAGGAACACCAGUGGCGAAGGCGGUUCUCUGGGCAUGACCUGACGCUGAGGAGCGAAAAGUGUGGGGGAGCGAACAGG